Zootoca vivipara (common lizard) is the source of this 1615-nucleotide non-coding RNA. The record is from RefSeq and is a predicted model, not a curated record. Lineage: Eukaryota; Metazoa; Chordata; Lepidosauria; Squamata; Lacertidae.
GCGGAUGGAUACGGUGACGUCAUUUCCUCCGUCCCGCAAACCGAGAGGCUGAUUGGCUGGGGAGUGACGUCACUGGCAGACUGGCACACCCUAACCCAACCUGAUGCAAAAGUUCUGGAGGUUUAAUUUGGCUCCGCUGUUGGGAACUCUUUGGUACUCAAGUAGAAGCAUGGAAGGCCGCACCAUUCCAUCAAACAAACCAGUGUUAAAAAGAAGCGAGUCAUCAGAAAUAAUCCUGCCACUGGGAUUUUGAAGACUGAUUAUUUAAAUUAUGCAUACAUACAUCCAGUGGGCAAUGCCACAAAGUCAACAAGUCAGCAAAUUCCAGUGGAUACCCAAAGUUUUAUUUAAAAGCAACAACUUCCCAGCAUGUUUCAAGCAGAAGUUACACUGUAUCUGGAAAUUCUUCUCCGGUUUCCCCUCAAACUAGAUGGAUCAGAAUCACAACUCGUUUUGAUAAAGAUGUUGCAUUGCCAAGACCUGAAUUGCAGCCAAAGGCACUGCAAUCGCCUGCAAGAGCUUCCCAUACGGCAGGGUUAAUGUGGGUUGCCCAUGACUCACUUCCAUAAAGCAGUGUGCUCAACAUGCAAGCCUGGCAGACCUUCUUCAUGGUACUGGUGGUUGUGAUGAUGAUGAUGAGUUGUAGCAAUAUUUAUUUAUUUAUGCCCUUACAUUUAGGAGAAGCCUUCAUAAUGCAGCUUACAAUAAAAUUGUUAGAAUGAUUGGCUAAACAUAUAACAAAAAAACAGCAUAAGAUAAAAUUGUAUAUGGUGCCAGCAAUAAAAUCAAUUAACAGCUUGGUGGAUUUUUAAAAAAGCAUUUAGAAGUCAUAGUAAAGGGGUCCAGAUGAAACUCCCGGGGGAUGAAAUGCCUCACAGUAUGUUAAAGUUACAUAUAACUAAUAUCUAAAAUAAAACAGUAGACCAGGCACCCCCAAACUGCAGCCCUCCAGAUGUUUUGGCCUACAACUCCCAUGAUCCCUAGCUAACAGGACCAGUGGUCAGGGAUGAUGGGAAUUGUAGUUCAAAACAUCUGGAGGGCCGAAGUUUGGGGAUGCCUGCAGUAGACCAUAGUAUAGAUCUGGGUUGGCUAACAUUGCCCUCCAUAUAUUAUUGGACUCCAACUCCCAUCAGCCCCAGAAAGCAUGAUCAACAGUCAAGGGUGAUGUGAGUUGUAGUCCAGCAACAUCUGGAAGGACACAGGUUCACCAUCUCCUGGUCUAGAUUGGUCUAGAAAUAGCACAGUUUUGUAUUUGAUGUUUGUAUCUGAUUGAAAUCAGUGGGGGGGUGUGCUCUCAGCUAUAAAAUACACUUUACUGAAAAUAAUUUUACCUAUUCAACAUAUGGAUCUACUAGCUUCUAGUUGGGAAGGUAACAACCUUAAGUAUGCCUAAUUGUAAACUGCAGCCAUCAUGAAAUAUAAAUGUAUUUAGUUAGUGCUCCUGCCUGCUCAUCAUUGAUGAUGCAAUGUCUGCUGAAAGUGAAAGAUCUCUGGAACUGACUGGCUGACUUACUGAUUGAUUGAAUUUCUUCCCCACUUUUCACUGUGAGGUCUCAGGGUGGUUUACAGCAAAAAACAUGCCAUGACUUAUUUUGGUGUGACUGCCAGCCCUUGG